This 468-nucleotide ribosomal RNA is filed under the name uncultured bacterium. Its description in RNAcentral is "partial 16S ribosomal RNA". It matches the Rfam family "Bacterial small subunit ribosomal RNA", at positions 28 to 507 of the family's 1533-position model. The record is from RNAcentral.
GACGAACGCUGGCGGCGUGCUUAACACAUGCAAGUCGAACGGAAAGGCCCUGCUUUUGUGGGGUGCUGGAGUGGCGAACGGGUGAGUAACACGUGAGUAACCUGCCCUUGACUUUGGGAUAACUUCAGGAAACUGGGGCUAAUACCGGAUAGGAGCUCCUGCUGCAUGGUGGGGGUUGGAAAGUUUCGGCGGUUGGGGAUGGACUCGCGGCUUAUCAGCUUGUUGGUGGGGUAGUGGCUUACCAAGGCUUUGACGGGUAGCCGGCCUGAGAGGGUGACCGGCCACAUUGGGACUGAGAUACGGCCCAGACUCCUACGGGAGGCAGCAGUGGGGAAUAUUGCACAAUGGGCGGAAGCCUGAUGCAGCAACGCCGCGUGCGGGAUGACGGCCCUCGGGUUGUAAACCGCUUUCGCCUGUGACGAAGCGUGAGUGACGGUAAUGGGUAAAGAAGCACCGGCUAACUACGUG